GUGAACGCUGGCGGUAGGCCUAACACAUGCAAGUCGAACGGCAGCACAGUAAGAGCUUGCUCUUACGGGUGGCGAGUGGCGGACGGGUGAGGAAUACAUCGGAAUCUACUUUUUCGUGGGGGAUAACGUAGGGAAACUUACGCUAAUACCGCAUACGACCUACGGGUGAAAGCAGGGGAUCUUCGGACCUUGCGCGAUUGAAUGAGCCGAUGUCGGAUUAGCUAGUUGGCGGGGUAAAGGCCCACCAAGGCGACGAUCCGUAGCUGGUCUGAGAGGAUGAUCAGCCACACUGGAACUGAGACACGGUCCAGACUCCUACGGGAGGCAGCAGUGGGGAAUAUUGGACAGUGGGCGCAAGCCUGAUCCAGCCAUACCGCGUGGGUGAAGAAGGCCUUCGGGUUGUAAAGCCCUUUUGUUGGGAAAGAAAAGCAGCAGGUUAAUACCCCGCUGUUCUGACGGUACCCAAAGAAUAAGCACCGGCUAACUUCGUG
Molecule: ribosomal RNA, 491 nt
Filed under: uncultured bacterium
Lineage: Bacteria
Description: partial 16S ribosomal RNA
Rfam family: Bacterial small subunit ribosomal RNA
Source: RNAcentral